This 307-nucleotide ribosomal RNA is filed under the name uncultured bacterium. RNAcentral describes it as "bacterial SSU rRNA". It matches the Rfam family "Bacterial small subunit ribosomal RNA", at positions 28 to 334 of the family's 1533-position model. The record is from RNAcentral.
GACAAACGCUGGCGGCGUGCCUAACACAUGCAAGUCGAACGGGGUAAAGAGCUUCGGUUUUUACUUAGUGGCGAACGGGUGAGUAACGCGUGAGGAACCUGCCUUUCAGUGGGGGACAACAGUUAGAAAUGACUGCUAAUACCGCAUAUGCCUAAGUAUCGCAUGAUACAAUAGGGAAAGGAGUAAUCCGCUGAUAGAUGGGCUUGCGUCUGAUUAGAUAGUUGGUAGGGUAACGGCCUACCAAGACGACGAUCAGUAGCCGGACUGAGAGGUUGAACGGCCACAUUGGGACUGAGAUACGGCCCAG